AUUGAACGCUGGCGGCAUGCCUUACACAUGCAAGUCGAACGGCAGCACGGGAGCAAUCCUGGUGGCGAGUGGCGAACGGGUGAGUAAUAUAUCGGAACGUGCCCAGUCGUGGGGAUAACGUAGCGAAAGCUACGCUAAUACCGCAUACGAUCUAAGGAUGAAAGCGGGGGAUCGCAAGACCUCGCGCGAUUGGAGCGGCCGAUAUCAGAUUAGCUAGUUGGUGAGGUAAAGGCUCACCAAGGCGACGAUCUGUAGCUGGUCUGAGAGGACGACCAGCCACACUGGGACUGAGACACGGCCCAGACUCCUACGGGAGGCAGCAGUGGGGAAUUUUGGACAAUGGGCGCAAGCCUGAUCCAGCAAUGCCGCGUGCAGGAUGAAGGCCCUUCGGUUGUAAACUGCUUUGUACGGUAACGAAACGGUGAGCUCUAAUACAGCUUGCUAAUGACGGUACCGUAAGAAUAAGACACCGGCUAAC
RNAcentral lists this ribosomal RNA (478 nucleotides) under uncultured bacterium. RNAcentral's name for it is "bacterial SSU rRNA". It matches the Rfam family "Bacterial small subunit ribosomal RNA", at positions 30 to 501 of the family's 1533-position model. The record is from RNAcentral.